This 71-nucleotide transfer RNA is filed under the name Dasyscopelus asper (prickly lanternfish). Its description in RNAcentral is "Myctophum asperum (prickly lanternfish) tRNA-Gly". It matches the Rfam family "tRNA". From Rfam's summary of the family: Transfer RNA (tRNA) molecules are approximately 80 nucleotides in length. Their secondary structure includes four short double-helical elements and three loops (D, anti-codon, and T loops). The record is from RNAcentral. RNAcentral also lists the same sequence under 1 other name. Lineage: Eukaryota; Metazoa; Chordata; Actinopteri; Myctophiformes; Myctophidae.
AUCUUUCUAGUAUAAUGUUAGUAUAAGUGACUUCCAAUCACCCGGCCCCGGUUAAACCCCGGGGAAAGAUA